RNAcentral lists this small RNA (1125 nucleotides) under Pan troglodytes (chimpanzee). RNAcentral's name for it is "retained intron". Lineage: Eukaryota; Metazoa; Chordata; Mammalia; Primates; Hominidae. The record is from RNAcentral.
CAGGGUCCGGCCUGCACCUUCCCGCCAGGCCUGGACACUGGUUCAACACCUGUGACUUCAUGUGUGCGCGCCGGCCACACCUGCAGUCACACCUGUAGCCCCCUCUGCCAAGAGAUCCACACCGAGGCAGCCUCGGUGGCUACAAGCCCUCAGUCCACACCUGUGGACACCUGUGACACCUGGCCACACGACCUGUGGCCGCGGCCUGGCGUCUGCUGCGACAGGAGCCCUUACCUCCCCUGUUGUAACACCUGACCGCCACCUAACUGCCCCUGCAGAAGGAGCAAUGGCCUUGGCUCCUGAGAGGGCAGCCCCACGCGUGCUGUUCGGAGAGUGGCUCCUUGGAGAGAUCAGCAGCGGCUGCUAUGAGGGGCUGCAGUGGCUGGACGAGGCCCGCACCUGUUUCCGCGUGCCCUGGAAGCACUUCGCGCGCAAAGACCUGAGCGAGGCCGACGCGCGCAUCUUCAAGGCCUGGGCUGUGGCCCGCGGCAGGUGGCCGCCUAGCAGCAGGGGAGGUGACCCGCCCCCCGAGGCUGAGACUGCGGAGCGCGCCGGCUGGAAAACCAACUUCCGCUGCGCACUGCGCAGCACGCGUCGCUUCGUGAUGCUGCGAGAUAACUCGGGGGACCCGGCCGACCCGCACAAGGUGUACGCGCUCAGCCGGGAGCUGUGCUGGCGAGAAGGCCCAGGCACGGACCAGACUGAGGCAGAGGCCCCCGCAGCUGUCCCACCACCACAGGUAGCCUUCUCUCUGCCUGCCUCUCCUCCUACCAGGCCGCGGAACUGCUUACGUUGACCCUGACUUUUCCCUGCAGGGUGGGCCCCCAGGGCCAUUCCUGGCACACACAGAUGCUGGACUCCAAGCCCCAGGCCCCCUCCCUGCCCCGGCUGGUGACAAGGGGGACCUCCUGCUCCAGGCAGUGCAACAGAGCUGCCUGGCGGACCAUCUGCUGACAGCGUCAUGGGGGGCAGAUCCAGUCCCAACCAAGGCUCCUGGAGAGGGACAAGAAGGGCUUCCCCUGACUGGGGCCUGUGCUGGAGGUGUGGGCGUGCCCGGGGAGGCGGGGAGCGCGGGAGGGGCCAGUGCACCUGGACGGACACUUGAGAAGGGGGCUGGGGAUUGGG